CCAGACAAAAAAAAUUUCUAGAUCCGCCACUGUUUCAUGGUCUAGUACUGGGUAAUGCUGUUUUUUAAGAAUUUUCUUUGUUGUCUUUAUUAAGUAUGAUGCUUCUGUCUAAUAUUAGCAUUUGUUUGACAUACCAUUUUUUCUGUCUCUAACGAAGAAAAUUGCCAACCGUUUUAUAUUUGGCUUUGAUCUUAAGUGCAUCUGACUUGAGUAUAUAGUUUCAAUCUCUCAAUAUUUAUCUGUUUGAUGAAAAAAAUAUCCCACACAAGGAUGUCAAAUAGGAAAAGUGUUCUCUCAUUGAAUAUCUUUAUGCU
This 314-nucleotide unclassified non-coding RNA is filed under the name Hevea brasiliensis (rubber tree). The record is from RNAcentral. Lineage: Eukaryota; Viridiplantae; Streptophyta; Magnoliopsida; Malpighiales; Euphorbiaceae.